GAUCAUCACGGAGGACAGUGAUCCAUCCAUUCGAGAUUGAUGCACGGAUCACCUCCUUUUAGGGCAGAUGAGUCUCGAAUAUAUGGUGUAGAGACACUGGGGUGAGAGUGCAAGUGGUUAUUAAAGAACAACUUGCACUGAGCAUGACCAACACGAGAAAUCACUUGGAUAUCUACUCACUCAUUAGUGGUCUUUCUCGAUGCUGCAGUGGUGGACUGG
Molecule: long non-coding RNA, 219 nt
Filed under: Elaeis guineensis (African oil palm)
Lineage: Eukaryota; Viridiplantae; Streptophyta; Magnoliopsida; Arecales; Arecaceae
Description: long non-coding RNA (EGUI_LNC039727)
Source: RNAcentral